Long non-coding RNA from Taeniopygia guttata (zebra finch), 3282 nucleotides. Lineage: Eukaryota; Metazoa; Chordata; Aves; Passeriformes; Estrildidae. The record is from Ensembl.
AAUUUCCUCGACCUUCCCUCAGAGGUUAGACCUGCUGAACUUCUCGUUUCUAUUUUUUUCCUUCCAUAUUUCUCUCACUUUUGUAUGUCUGUCUUAAAAGGUGAAACUCAGGAUUGCAUCCAUGCCCUAGCUGAAUGCUCAAAAAUCCCAGGAAAAACAACACAGUGUCCCUCCCUCAUGUUAGAUGAAAAAUUCCAUUGAAGACAUCCCAAACUAAAAUUAGCUCACCCCACCCCCCCCAUUUUGUUAACAGCACUGCAUUUUGUCCACAUAUUCCCCAUAUUCAGAUCUGGUUUUGCUGACCAGCUGCCAGACCAAAUAUUCUCUAUUAUCUGAGAGUUUGCUUUGCUGCACUUACCUGUGUAAGGCUUGACUCCAGUUCUCUGCUUUAAAAUCAUGUUGAGCUCAGUAGUAUAACCAAAAUUACUGAUGACAGAAGACAAUUUAAUAGGUUUUGCAAUUUCCUUUGGGGAAGGUGAUAAAAAAAUAUUAGCAGAGACAACAGCAUUUGAAAGUGCUUAGGGAUAAACAAAUGGCUGAUCAGGGUGGAAAAGACACAAGGGGAAACUGCAUCAACAGGUCUGUCAGUGAACAGGGGCUAAGAUGGAGGAGAUAUUAAACAAGCUUCUCUUUGGUGUAGGAUCAGAGCAGAAUGAGGAAAAAACCACAUGGAGUCCCCCAGCCUGCUGAACAGGGGGAACCAAGUGUGGAUCUCAGCAAAAGGGGCAGGCACAGCACUGAUGAGGAAAUGGCAGAUCUGAACAAAGAGAAGGUCUCUAAGCACAUGAUAUGAAAUGAGAUUGUUGUUGUAUGCAACAAUCUGGUCACUGGGCACACAGGUAAAGAAAAAAGAGUGUGAAGGAGCUGAGCUAACACAGAGAGACAGCCCAGGAAUGCAUCCCAGCUGUGCAGAGGGUGCUGCCCACCCCUCAUCAGGGAGGGCACUGAGCACAGGGAUGAGCAGCUCCCCAGACACAGACUGUGCCAAUCAGGGAUAUGGCAAUUACAAGUUAAAUGCAUCCCCACUCACUGGUUUUGCUUUCACCCAUGUGCUUACAGUAAGACUGAUGCUGUAAAAGGCACCUGCACUUAGAUUAAUAACUCUUGUACUGAAAGAAGUACAACCUCCCGAUGAUUAUCUGAGAAUCCUUCCAAAGAUGACAAACACAUGCUUUUGACCUGUAAGGUUUGCUGAGAGACACUCUGCAGAGCAGCAGCUCUCCAUAAACAGGCUUUUCAUUGCAGCUAUACUGCAGGACAACUGGAGAAGAGAAUAUGGAAACAACCAGGGGCUCCUAAGGGCACUGCAACUGUUAUGUAAAAGAAAAACUGUAAAUAGAUUUCCUUGCUGCAGCACACUUUUAGAGGCAGGGAUGUGUACUGAGGUAGAAAACUAUUUGUCUCUGCCUGCAAGAGCUCUGUAUUAUUUUUCUCCUCUAUGCCAGGGUGGUGAUCUCUUGGAUACAGACUUAAAGAAAGCACUUUCUAUGGAAACAGACUGUGUGAGUCUAAAAAAUUCUUAGUGUCAUAUUAUUGAUCUUAUAAAGGACAAAGAGAAAUUGAUUAUUUUUUAGAAAGACUCUCAAUUCUUAUUCAUCAGAAGUGCAUGCAUGUAUAGGUGCCUCUCUAUAUAAACAUGCAUACUCAUACAGAGUGCAUGUAAUUUUUAAAUUAAUCUUACAUUUUCUGUGUUUAGCUUAAUUUCUCAGCACAUAUAUUUCAUGUUGUGACUACAACUGAAAAGAAAAACACAUUCUUCUGCACAAGAAUUUACAUCAAGUAAAUUACAAGAAUUUACAUUUUGGCUAGCAAAAAUCCCGUCAAAAAUCUCUACCAUCAUGUAAAGUGACAUGCAAAUAAUUUGCCUUUUUUUUUCAGAAUUGGACUGAUUUAGUCUGCUAAUCAUAAUUAUAUUAUGAGCCCUUUUUAGGUCUUGGCAAUGCUCAUGAUCCAUCUUCAGCCCAAGCCAUUGUGCCAGCUCUUUGCAAAAAGGAAACUCUCUAAAAGCUGAUCCUGUUACUGUAAAUGCACUUCAGUACACAAUUAAAAUAGAACUUCAUCUCACACAACCACUUUCUUGAGGUCAGAUGUCAUGCAGUCUAACACAAUUUUAAUACAGCACAAGGAAUAGAUACCACUGUAAAGGUGCAGCCGAUUUCCCUGAGCCCUCCCAUCCUGCUGGGCAUGGCAAGGCAGCAGGACUGGUGCAGCUGUGUUUUGUGGAAGAUCUCACAGGAGCGGCUGCCUCCGAGACACAGGACUCAAAUUCUGAGUGUUCAAGCUUGCAUUUUCCCCCUGGGAGAGAGAAGGGUAAACAUUAACUGGUUUUCAUCAUCAAGUGCAGUGUAAUAAUGAUACCAGGCACUUUCUCAGACUCUUCUAUUCACUGGAAUUUGGUCUAAAUUAAAUGUUUCUGGCAGCAGGCAUGCUCCAACAGCAUUCUGAAAAAACAAACUCUGGAUGGGAACCUGAGCCCAAGCAUUUCUCCCUCCACAGUGCCUGGCACAUGAUGUUACUGUUCUAUGCCAAAUUCUGUCCUUCUUAAUUAUGUUUUGAUUUCCAAACGUUUUCUCCGCUGGACACCGCUGUGCUCCCCAUCUCAGGAGGCUCUGUAAUGUCACACCUUGUAUUCCUUCCCGAAUCAGCCACCUCCAAAAGUUACACACACACUGGGCUACAGUAAAGCUAAGAACUACAGAGAUGUGAAAUACAAUUAUUCUGUAGAAUUUUGAGUUUGGAAGGGGAGUCAGAACAAACCAAAAAACCCAAUCAGGCACAUUUGAGUGGCAUAUCAUAGAUUAAAUAAACCAAGAUUAAACACACACACACUGAAUCUGCAUAAUCUGCAUGUAUCUGUAUCUCAGCACAGGAUUGCCAAGGUUAUUUUGCUCAUUGCACAGAAGAGUCAAAUAGACCCUUAAGAAGUAAAUUUGAUGCAUUAAAUUUGGUUAUAGUAAAAGGAUUAAUCUGUGCAAUCCCUGCUGAUCAUUAAAUCCAAUUUAUCACAGCAGAUACAAAUCUAUGAAAAUAUUAGUUUUCCAAAGGAAAUGUGAUUUUUCAUAAGAAAAAUCCCUGCCUUGUGAUGACAGAGCACACAUUUCUAGACAUUACGAAGUUCUCAGAUCAUUUUGAUCAAAGCAGGUCAAUAAUUGACUCUAACCAGCACUCCUUUGAACUGCUAGGUAUUUUUUCUGCAUCUAAGUGAGUCUUGAGGUAAAUGGUUUUUUUUUUUCCUUCAUGUGAAAAAACCCUCACCCCAAGAGGGUUCUUCACUUCCAUUCA